Molecule: long non-coding RNA, 776 nt
Organism: Sapajus apella (tufted capuchin)
Lineage: Eukaryota; Metazoa; Chordata; Mammalia; Primates; Cebidae
Exons: 3
Source: RefSeq, a predicted model, not a curated record
CUCCAUCUUAAAAAAAAAAAAAAGAAUUAUUAGCUUUAGUUUUGAUGCGUGGGAAAACUAAACUGCUCUAUGCCUACUCCAUCUUGGCCGGUACAAGAAGUCCCGCAACUUAAACAAAUUUAUAAAAGUUAAACUUGAGGGGUUGUUUUUCAUUUUUGUUUGUAGGUAAUCAGGUGUUCUUAAAUAUAAUUUUUUAUCUCCUUCCCUACCAAGAGGUUUUUAGAACUGUUUGCUUGGCAGGUGAAGAAUCUGCACGUUGUGGAUCUUUAUUACUGAAUGAGAAACUACCAGACUUUACCUUAGCUUUAUUUGUUUCCCAGUUCAACGGAAUAUAACCUUAGAACUCCCUAGAGGUGCUUUCUAAAAGGUUUUGAUUUCUCCAACUGUCAUAGUACUGCAUUUGUGAAUCCCAAAUUGGCUCCCACUGUUUAAACUUGAUGUAAGAUAUAGGAAGAUUUUUUUUGUUACCACCCUCCUUCUAUUCCAAACACUAUGUAUCUGAAGGAAACUUUAGUAGGAGAAGAUAUUUUGGAAAAAUUUUUGUCAUCAGCUUAAACGCGUGUCUGGUUUUUUGUUUGUUUGGUUGGUUGGUUUUUGUUUGUUUGCUUGUUUAAAUUCAGGGGGAGGCCAAGCGCAGGUGGCUCACGCCUGUAAUCCCAGCACUUUGGGUGGCCGACACAGGUGGACCGCUUCAGCUCAGGAAUUCCAGAGGAGCCUGGGCAACAUGGUGAAACCCCGUCUCUACGAAAAAUACAAAAAAUUAGACAGGUCUGGUG